RNAcentral lists this unclassified non-coding RNA (177 nucleotides) under uncultured Sebacinales. RNAcentral's name for it is "sequence contains ITS1". The record is from RNAcentral. Lineage: Eukaryota; Fungi; Basidiomycota; Agaricomycetes; Sebacinales.
AUGAUUGCAAAUGGGUUGCCUUCAGUGCUGGCUCAUUACUACGAGCAAGUGCACGUUGGUGGCUUCAUCCAAUACCCUUGUGAACCUGAGCCUCUUGCCGGCCUGGCCGGCAGAGAGGAUUUGUAUACCACGCUUGAAUGUAAUGAGAAAACUAUUGUUGUGCGCAAGCACUAUGUA